AUAAAUUAGUAUAAAUGCUUCUCUUUUAUACAGUGCCAUGGGGAUCUUAUUUCAACUAUCUUUCUGAAUGGAACAAAUACAUUGACAAUGAAAAUGUUAUGCCUAUAGGUUUUGAAGAUGUAAAAGAGAAUACAUAUUUAAGAGUGAAAAAAUAGCUGAAUUUUUGAGUUCCCUUUGAAUGAAGAAGAAAUUCAUGCUGUUGUGCAGAGGAGUAGCUUUCAAUCUAUGAAGAAGAACUCCAAGGAGACCCAUGGAGCAUUUGGGGAUGUUCUCUUCCAUAAAGGUGGUGUUAGCGACUGGAGGAAUCUUUUUGCGGAAAAGCAUAAUUUGGAAAUGGACAAAAUGUACAAGGAACACUUAGGAGGAAUCCCUCUUGGAAAAAGGUUAAAAUAUAAUGUGUGUUGCAAAGCCUGAAGGA
This is a long non-coding RNA of Tinamus guttatus (white-throated tinamou), 418 nucleotides long. RefSeq lists it as uncharacterized. The record is from RefSeq and is a predicted model, not a curated record. NCBI's taxonomy places the organism in Eukaryota, Metazoa, Chordata, Aves, Tinamiformes, Tinamidae.